Nilaparvata lugens (brown planthopper) is the source of this 1137-nucleotide RNA transcript. RefSeq lists it as uncharacterized. NCBI's taxonomy places the organism in Eukaryota, Metazoa, Arthropoda, Insecta, Hemiptera, Delphacidae. The transcript is spliced from 3 exons. The record is from RefSeq and is a predicted model, not a curated record.
AUCUGCGACAAACUGACAUCAUAAAGUAAACAAGAUAAUGGAAUUUUCAGCUGAAAUCCGCGUACAACCGUGGAUACUUUUAAGAAUUCCUCAUUUGGUGUUCCAUGAUGCCCGUGGAUUUCACAUCAGUUGAGACAUUCCAGUUUCAAUAUCGCAAUAUUUAAGGAAGCCUUAGCAGCAAAGGAGCUGCCGUCAACCUAAAGAUCCAUACUUCAUUGAAGAUUACAAAAAGAGAAAGGAAGAAAACCGUGCAAGAAUAGCCAGAUUGGCCAAAAAUGUAAACAGAGUGAUUGAAGGCGCUAGUACCAGUGCAAACCCAUCUUUUCCAACUGAGAGCAGUGAAGAAACGAUCAAUGCGGACCCGCCUCGUGACCUCUGUGUCACACUUGACAUUGAGAAGUUUUUCAGUGGUGAGGAGUGGGCAUCCAAAACUCACCUGGAAAGAAAGGAACUCAGAUCUCAACUGGAAACAUACCGAUAUUCGUUAAAGCAUACUUCAGGUUAGUUAGUAUUUUCGAAACAACUUUUAUGGCCAUUUUAUAUUAUCUUUCUUUCUCUCCUCAUCUUCCUUGUUAUUUUCCUUCUCCAGCUUUUCCUUAUUCAAUUUGAUUGUAUGGUAAGAGAUGUAGUGGUAUUUCUCCAUAAUUGAAAGAAAAUGACGUUGAUGUUGUCAAAAUAAUAUAGUGGUAUGUUAGUUAGUUUAAUUUUCGUCUUAUAACACUACAGCAUCAAGCAAAGCUAGGUAGUAAAUGACAUGUUAAAAGUAUUGAGUACAGUACUCAAAAAAGUAAUUAUAAAAGAGAGAAAAAAAGAAGAAAAUCAGAACAUACAAAGGCGUUAAAAAAAAAGCCUUGCAAAAAAAAUCCUAAACGCGCCAACAGUUGAAGCUUUCCUCUAAACUGUACGGAGAUGCAUCGUUCAAUUUAGCUUUUAUUGCAUUCUUGAACCUUUCUGAGCUCUCAAUACAUUCUAUUUCAAUAGGAAGAGAGUUAUAAGCUCUUAAUCCGCUCAUGUGCAGUACCUUAGGCAGCUGAACUUCGCAUUUAGUCAGCUAGGGUAAGUCCUGGGUGCCGGUCACUGUAGGAACAUCAGUGUGCAGUGGGUAUGGCAUCUUGGCGUGGGGGGGGGUGCCUCAUC